ACGAACGCUGGCGGCGUGCUUAACACCUGCAAGUCGAACGUGAUUUUUGUGGAAAUUCUUUCGGGAAUGGAAAUGAAAUGAAAGUGGCGAACGGGUGAGUAACACGUGAGCAACCUACCUUACACAGGGGGAUAGCCGUUGGAAACGACGAUUAAUACCGCAUGAGACCACAGAAUCGCAUGAUAUAGGGGUCAAAGAUUUAUCGGUGUAAGAAGGGCUCGCGUCUGAUUAGCUAGUUGGAAGGGUAAAGGCCUACCAAGGCGACGAUCAGUAGCCGGUCUGAGAGGAUGAACGGCCACAUUGGAACUGAGACACGGUCCAAACUCCUACGGGAGGCAGCAGUGGGGAAUAUUGCACAAUGGGGGGAACCCUGAUGCAGCGACGCCGCGUGAGCGAAGAAGGUUUUCGAAUCGUAAAGCUCUGUCCUAUGAGAAGAUAAUGACGGUAUCAUAGGAGGAAGCCCCGGCUAAAUACGUG
RNAcentral lists this ribosomal RNA (477 nucleotides) under uncultured bacterium. RNAcentral's name for it is "partial 16S ribosomal RNA". It matches the Rfam family "Bacterial small subunit ribosomal RNA", at positions 29 to 507 of the family's 1533-position model. The record is from RNAcentral.